GACGAACGCUGGCGGCGUGCUUAACACAUGCAAGUCGAACGGAAAGGCCCUGCUUUUGUGGGGUGCUCGAGUGGCGAACGGGUGAGUAACCCGUGAGUAACCUGCCCUUGACUUUGGGAUAACUUCAGGAAACUGGGGCUAAUACCGGAUAGGAGCUCCUGCUGCAUGGUGGGGGUUGGAAAGUUUCGGCGGUUGGGGAUGGACUCGCGGCUUAUCAGCUUGUUGGUGGGGUAGUGGCUUACCAAGGCUUUGACGGGUAGCCGGCCUGGGAGGGUGACCGGCCACAUUGGGACUGGGAUACGGCCCAGACUCCUACGGGAGGCAGCAGUGGGGAAUAUUGCACAAUGGGCGGAAGCCUGAUGCAGCAACGCCGCGUGCGGGAUGACGGCCUGCGGGUUGGAUACCGCUUUCGCCUGUGACGAAGCGUGAGUGACGGUAAUGGGUAAAGAAGCACCGGCUAACUACGUG
Molecule: ribosomal RNA, 468 nt
Filed under: uncultured bacterium
Lineage: Bacteria
Description: partial 16S ribosomal RNA
Rfam family: Bacterial small subunit ribosomal RNA
Source: RNAcentral